Long non-coding RNA from Sinocyclocheilus anshuiensis, 991 nucleotides. RefSeq lists it as uncharacterized. The transcript has 5 exons. NCBI's taxonomy places the organism in Eukaryota, Metazoa, Chordata, Actinopteri, Cypriniformes, Cyprinidae. The record is from RefSeq and is a predicted model, not a curated record.
UCUGCCGGAUUAUGCACAGUGUCUCUGCCUUGACCUCUGUGUAAUCGUUCAACAAUAACAAACCCUUUCAGCUUCUAAAAAACCACGGUAAGAGAAAUCCCUCAGAAAAUAACCCAUCGUCAGAGAAAAAAGAGCUGGCUAAGAGCCUAUGUGUCGUUUUUCUCAGUUGAGCUGAAAUGAUUGGCAGAAUUGUUCAUGAAAUUCAGAUGUUAGGGUUAUCUUCUUCUAAUUAAAGCAGACAGUGGACCGGGCUUUGUUCAGGAGCCGGACAGAAAUUUAAACAGACUGUGCAAAGCUGUAAAGAGGCUCCCGAGGGAUCUCAUUAUGAACUAUAUGAAGAGAGCCCAUCUGCACCAAGGCAUUGUCUUCACUCUGCUGUAAAGAUGAGUUCUUGGCUGCUUGCUGUGUCAUGGCAUUUCAACACCAUCAAAAAAUCAUUACAGACCAGAGAGGAACAGGAAGAUAGACAUGCCAGAUGUUAGACAUACAUUAUGUCACACAGAGUAAUGCAGCACCUCCUCAUGGUCUUCAUGAUCUUCAUGGUCUUCAUGAUCUUCUGAUGCAUGCUUCUCCAGAUAGUCGGUCUAAGUGUUGGAAGAUGCUCUCCUCAGGUUGAGAUAUGGCAGAGAUGAGCUCCUCACACUCAUGAGCUGUCAGCAGCUCCACCAGGCGCUCCAGCUGAUUAUUGCUGCAAAGCAAGUACAGGAACUUGCUACUGCCAGUACAUACGCUGAUACAGUGCAGUGAGUAUUACUGCUGCUGCACAAAUAGCAUAUAUAGUAACCUGUAGCAGAUCUAAACGGGUGGAGCUGGGGAAGGUGGAGGGUUUCAGAGGAACUGUGAAAGCAUGCUGCGAAAUGCUCUGGUGGAUGCUAACCAGCCAUUUAAAUGUAAAGCAGCAAGCUCACUGGCUGCAUAUGAAACAUUAACUAAUCAGCUUGUGCCAUGUAGUUUAACGCUGUGAAUAUCAUCAGUUUGUGUUAGGGACCCA